RNAcentral lists this ribosomal RNA (451 nucleotides) under uncultured bacterium. RNAcentral's name for it is "partial 16S ribosomal RNA". It matches the Rfam family "Bacterial small subunit ribosomal RNA", at positions 354 to 796 of the family's 1533-position model. The record is from RNAcentral.
GUGAGGAAUCUUGCGCAAUGGGGGAAACCCUGACGCAGCAACGCCGCGUGAGUGAGGAAGGUCUUCGGAUCGUAAAGCUCUGUCAGUUGGAAAGAAAUGUCUGAGAGUCAAUCCCUUUCAGGCUUGACGGUACCAACAGAGGAAGCACCGGCUAACUCCGUGCCAGCAGCCGCGGUAAUACGGGGGGUGCAAGCGUUGUUCGGAAUUAUUGGGCGUAAAGAGCGUGUAGGCGGCCGGAUAUGUCAGAUGUGAAAGCCCCGGGCUUAACCCGGGAAGUGCAUUUGAAACUGUCCGGCUCGAGUAGGGGAGAGGGAAGUGGAAUUCCUGGUGUAGAGGUGAAAUUCGUAGAUAUCAGGAGGAACACCGGUGGCGAAGGCGACUUCCUGGCCCUAUACUGACGCUGAGACGCGAGAGCGUGGGUAGCAAACAGGAUUAGAUACCCCGGUAGUCC